RNAcentral lists this ribosomal RNA (740 nucleotides) under Pallidocercospora irregulariramosa. RNAcentral's name for it is "eukaryotic LSU rRNA". It matches the Rfam family "Eukaryotic large subunit ribosomal RNA", at positions 98 to 870 of the family's 3401-position model. The record is from RNAcentral. Lineage: Eukaryota; Fungi; Ascomycota; Dothideomycetes; Mycosphaerellales; Mycosphaerellaceae.
GCGGCAACAGCUCAAAUUUGAAAUCUGGCGCAAGCCCGAGUUGUAAUUUGUAGAGGAUGCUUCUAGGCAGCGGCCGUUCUAAGUUCCUUGGAACAGGACGUCAUAGAGGGUGAGAAUCCCGUAUGUGACCGGCACGCACCUUGUACGUAGCUCCUUCGACGAGUCGAGUUGUUUGGGAAUGCAGCUCUAAAUGGGAGGUAAAUUUCUUCUAAAGCUAAAUACCGGCUGGAGACCGAUAGCGCACAAGUAGAGUGAUCGAAAGAUGAAAAGCACUUUGGAAAGAGAGUUAAAAAGCACGUGAAAUUGUUGAAAGGGAAGCGCCUGCAACCAGACUUCGCGGCAGUGUUCCGCCGGUCUUCUGACCGGUCCAUUCUCUGUCGCGAGGCCAUCAUCGUCUGGGGCCGCCGGAUAAGACUGGAGGAAUGUAGCUCCCCUCGGGGAGUGUUAUAGCUUCCAGUGAUGCGGCGUGUCUCGGGCGAGGUCCGCGCUUCGGCAAGGAUGAUGGCGUAAUGGUUGUCGGCGGCCCGUCUUGAAACACGGACCAAGGAGUCUAACAUCUAUGCGAGUGUUCGGGUGUCAAACCCCUACGCGUAAUGAAAGUGAACGGAGGUGGGAACUUUUUGUGCACCAUCGACCGAUCCUGAUGUCCUCGGAUGGAUUUGAGUAAGAGCAUAGCUGUUGGGACCCGAAAGAUGGUGAACUAUGCCUGAAUAGGGUGAAGCCAGAGGAAACUCUGGUGG